UUGAGUUGUGGUUUAAACGUAAGGCUUUUGGAUGGGUCUGCGGCGGAUUAGGUUGUUGCCGGUGUAACGUACCAGCAAGCCUGUAAUCCGUACGGGUUGUGGGAGCAAGAGCCCGGAGAUGGAUUCUGAGACACGAAUCCAGGCCCUACGGGGCGCAGCAGGCGCGAAAACUCUACAAUGCAGGCAACUGCGAUAGGGGAACAUCGAGUGGCACCCACCAUGGGUGUCUGUCCAAUCGUCUAAAAAACGAUUGUCAGCAAGGGCCGGGCAAGACCGGUGCCAGCCGCCGCGGUAAUACCGGCGGCUCGAGUGGUGGCCGAUAUUAUUGAGUCUAAAGGGUCCGUAGCCGGCUUUGCAAGUCCCCUGGGAAAUCCAGCGGCUUAACCGUUGGGCUUUCAUGGGAUACUACAUUGCUUGGGACUGGGAGAGGUAGGAGGUACUCAGGGGGUAGGGGUGAAAUCCUGUAAUCCUUUGGGGACCACCGGUGGCGAAGGCGUCCUACCAGAACAGGUCCGACGGUGAGGGACGAAAGCUAGGGGCACGAACCGGAUUAGAUACCCGGGUAGUCCUAGCCGUAAACGAUGCUCGCUAGGUGUCACGGCAGUCGUGAAUUGUCGUGGUGCCGUAGGGAAGCCGUGA
This 639-nucleotide ribosomal RNA is filed under the name uncultured archaeon. RNAcentral describes it as "bacterial SSU rRNA". It matches the Rfam family "Archaeal small subunit ribosomal RNA", at positions 175 to 817 of the family's 1478-position model. The record is from RNAcentral.